Long non-coding RNA from Leucoraja erinaceus (little skate), 908 nucleotides. RefSeq lists it as uncharacterized. The record is from RefSeq and is a predicted model, not a curated record. The transcript is spliced from 4 exons. NCBI's taxonomy places the organism in Eukaryota, Metazoa, Chordata, Chondrichthyes, Rajiformes, Rajidae.
AAUGGAUAGUUAUAUGGAUGGGAAGGGAAUGGAGGGUUAUGGUCUGAGCGCAGGUAUAUGGGACUAGGGGAGAUUAUGUGUUCGGCACGGACUAGAAGGGUCGAGAUGGCCUGUUUCCGUGCUGUAAUUGUUAUAUGGUUAUAUGGUUAUAGAUCACACUGACAAAAACAAAGGAUCUUAGUUAUCCAAUGAGCAGCUCAAAUGCAACACCAGAAAGUUACGGCAGUUUUAGCCUUCCCAGCUUGCUGGGGCCUCUGAUUCACAUGUAUCUCUGUCAAGAAAUGCACAACAUUCGAUGAACUGAUUAAAUUACCACCAGUGCCGUGAGGAAUCAUUAUUACCAUUGUGAUUGGCAGAUCUCUUAUUACUUGUACAUAAACACUUAUACAUUUCAGUCCCAUCCGACGCUCCAACAUUUCAGCUGCAGCUUUCUAUGCUCUUUCACUCGGACAUAAUUAUUUCACUGAAGCAAGUGAAAGACUAAAAUAGUUUCCUAAAAAUAGAAAAUAGGUUUUUAGAUUGUAUCUGACGUAUACACUGUAAGUACACCCUAAAAUUGGCAGAAUUCAACCUCUCAUUAAAAAAAAAAAUCUUGGCUGUUUUCUUGCUCAUUGUUGACUCGGAAUUGUGGAUUUCAGGUUAAAUUUCAACUUGCAGCCGGGCACAUCACACUGUAACGUGGACUUCUUUCCUUAUAUGAUCAGAAAGAAAAGGGCACAUUUUGUUAGGUGACAUCACCUCUAAGGAAUGGAGUUCUUGAUUCAGGCUUUUUGAGGACAAGAUUUCCAUACGAAUUGAAGAUUAUAGGAAUGAUUACAUCAUCAAGGGUGAGUGACGCAAUACCAAUGAUUUUGUUCCUUUUGAACCUUUUAAAUUCAAGCCUGAAAAAAGACUGACAAAAUUCAUUA